UGCCGAUUCGCCAAGCUGGUAAGGCACAGGACUCUGACUCCUGUAUUCGGGCGUUCGAACCGCUCAUCGGCAA
RNAcentral lists this transfer RNA (73 nucleotides) under Prevotella sp. RNAcentral describes it as "tRNA-Gln". It matches the Rfam family "tRNA". Rfam says of the family: Transfer RNA (tRNA) molecules are approximately 80 nucleotides in length. Lineage: Bacteria; Pseudomonadati; Bacteroidota; Bacteroidia; Bacteroidales; Prevotellaceae. The record is from RNAcentral.